AACCAAUUAAAAGACCGAGAUGGCGGUGGGGGCGCCGAGGCCGCGCGACCUCCGGCCUUAGUGAUUGACAACAGGGUUGGCCAACAGAAGGUGGCAAUGUGGGCGGCAUGUCUUGAGAGGCACUUAAUCUUCUGAGAAACUUGUCUGAUGGGCUGAUAUGAUCUGUUCUUGAUCUGAGCUCAAAGGAAGUUAAGUCACAUUUACAGGCUUCUUUGCUGAAAUGUGAGAGUCAUUGCUAUACAAGAGGAAUAAGCAGUAGAAAUAUCCUUUAGCAGAAAUGGUGGCUCCAGUCUAUCUGCAACAACAGUUUCUCCACAGACAUCUCUAUUCAGCUGCUAUCAAAAGGAGAUGGUAUGUGUUUUGCAUAGUGCUCUUAAGUACAAAAGUUUCAAGAUCAGACAUCAUAAAACAAAUAGCAACUGACAAGCUGUAUUUGACUAUGCUAAUAACACACAUCAAAGAUGCUGUUUCCAAAGAUAACUAGAGCAUUUCACGGAUGCCAUGUGAGAAAGAACUCACGGGGGGAACAUUUAACUGAGUGACGUGUUAAAAGAAAACAUAUAUUUUAAAAUCCAUCACCUACUUCAUGUUAAUGGUGUGAGUCUCCAUUAAUUAGCAUUCUACAUUUUUCAUGCUGAACUAACUUGAGGCUACAAAGUGUAACAGAUUUUAUAAAAGAAUU
Molecule: long non-coding RNA, 682 nt
Organism: Mauremys reevesii (Reeves's turtle)
Lineage: Eukaryota; Metazoa; Chordata; Testudines; Geoemydidae
Exons: 3
Source: RefSeq, a predicted model, not a curated record